Molecule: long non-coding RNA, 248 nt
Filed under: Gossypium raimondii (Peruvian cotton)
Lineage: Eukaryota; Viridiplantae; Streptophyta; Magnoliopsida; Malvales; Malvaceae
Description: long non-coding RNA (GRAI_LNC006033)
Source: RNAcentral
AGCAGCAAAAAUGAAAAAAGAGAGAGGUUUUAGUGUAAAUGUAAAAAUGAAAAAAAUAUAAAAAAAUAAUAAAAAUAAAAAAUUGUGGGGGAAGAAGAACGUGAAAAAUCUCAAAUUUAAUGGAAAUGAAAAAUAAAAAAAGAAAAAGAAAAAAUUGGGAGGGAAGAGAGUAGAAAAAUAAAGGAAAAAGAACGUGAAAGAAAAGGGAAAAAAACGAGUGGUUUGAAUAUGAAGAAGAAGAGGGGAGG